CAUGCCAUUUAAGUCCUGUCUCAGAGUUCAGGCUGUUAAUUGUUGGUUAAUUGCAAUGGAUCUUUCUAUUUUACUAAUGUACGUGGGUCCAACUUGUGGAAAAAAGAAAAAUAGAAAAUUGUAUGGGAUUGCUUCAAAUUUAGACCCUUUCUUAUUGCAUGCGUGGUUAUAUGUGGGUUGUUAAGUGACUUUGCAUUUUUUUUCGUCUACUGAUGAUAAGGGAGGCAAGAUGCCACCCUGUAUUUUAUUACUGAAAGAGAGUGACUAUGCAAAUGUAGGUGCCUCUGUUUUGUCAUUCUCUGCUUAUGACUGCUACCAUUUAACUCUUCUAAGUUCUUAUAGUGAAUCUGGUUAGAAAAUCAUGCAUUUUAUUUGUGUAGAUUCUUAGGAGAUAAAACUUGAAACAUGAUCUCUGUUUUAGUAUUUUUAAUCAAUCUCCAUUUUACUCAGAUUAGAUAGUACAAUCCAAAUGAGCAUAGCAGUUGAAUAAUUUCUCUAUUUCAAAGAUCAAGGUUCCUCACAGUCAGGUUCAAUGCAAUUGUCCCCUAUUAGCGGAGUACCCCUCUUCUUGAUUAGGGUUUGAGGACAGCAAUGGCUUGAUGAACCGCUCCAUUCACCCUGUGUUGACCGUGAAGUUUGCUUAAAGUUAGAUUGGAAAAAGAGAGUAUCAAAAAGUUAAAUUCUGAUCUGAGUAGGCUCGAUAGAGGGAAUACCCCAACCCUGAGAAUUGGGGUCUGGUCUUCCCAUCCUAGUUGACAUUCUAGCAAAGUUUGUCUUUUGAUAGCUGAUGAACCUGGGGAUCCCUUCCCUGUACCCAUAUGUGUUUCCAUAGAUCUUACAGUUGCAGGUUUGUUCGCAAGCAAAUCAUACCCAUAUUAUUUCUAAACUCAUUUUCUCAGUGAUUCUAAACAAAUCAUAUCCAUAUGUGUUUCCAUAGAAAGUCUGUGUAAUUUAAAAAUUCUCAUACAGGUUGGGAUAAUAUGUAACUGAAUACUGAAUAGUGAAUUCUUAUGAAUUUCUAUUUUAUUUAGUCUAAAAUAUAUUAUAUAUAUUCCCUCUAGUUGAGUUGAAAAUGAUUAAACCAAGAUAUUGAUAUUUAGUCUAUACUUUUUUAAUACUGACAUUCUCCUUCAAACCCAAUAUAUCUAUUAGUUUUGUUAAUUUUUUGGAAGAUGGAUUCUGAUCAAUUAAUUUAUCUAUGCAACCCAAUAACCAUGCUAUUUCAUGUUUGUGUCAAUUUAAGGUUAAUAAAGGAGUGGAAGCUACACUAGUUCAACUUUUUGAUACAGCCUAUUACAUGCUGAUCCUCAUCCCGGGAACUUGCGUUAUACACCUGAAGGAUGUAUUGGGUUUCUUGAUUUUGGUUUGCUUUGUCGGAUGGAGAAGAAACAUCAGCUUGCUAUGCUUGCUUUCAUAAUGCACAUAGUAAAUGGAGACUGGGGUGCGCUUGUUUAUGAUUCGACUGAGAUGGAUAUUGUUAGGCCCGGAACCAAUCUACGUCGUGUGAAAAUGGAUUUGGAAGAGGCCUUGGAUGAGGUAGUCUUCAAUGAUGGAAUACCUGACAUCAAGUUUAGUAGGGUUCUAGGUAAAAUUUGGUCCAUAGCACUUAAGUAUCAAUUCCGUAUGCCACCAUAUUAUACAUUGGUCUUGUGCUCUCUAGCUUCCCUGGAAGGAUUGGCACUGGCUGCAGAUCAAAAUUUUAAGACAUUUCAAUCUGCAUACCCUUAUGUUGUCCAGAAACUUCUUUAUGAUAAUUCAGCUUCUACAAGGAGAAUGUUAUACUCGGUUGUCUUCAACAAAAGGAGGGAAUUCCAGUGGAAAUUUUUUUUGCUGUUUCUGAGAAUAGGUUCAAUGAGAAAUGGUACAAAUGUGCAUAACGUGUUAGUCACCUGCAAAUCCUUUGCAUACAGUCAAAAUGUACGAGAGGGGGUCUUUGAAGUUGCAAAAUCUAGUCUUGCAGCUCUUACCAUCAAAGGAUGGUAUCAUCCUAAGAAUUCUGAUGACUGCGAAAUGGUACAAAUGUGCAUAACAUGUUACUCACCUGCAAAUCCUCUGCAUACAGUCAAAAUGUUCGAGAGGGGGUCUUUGAAGUUGCAAAUCUAAUCUUGCAGCUCUUACCAUCAAAGGAUGGUAUCGUCCUAAGAAGACUUCUGAUGACUGCGGAUGCAACAUCCUUAACUGGAGCAAUGAUUUCUAAAGAUGCAACCUUCAUCCGUCAACAUCUUAGCUGGGCUAUUGCUGAUAUAAUCUGCCACUGGAUGAUUAAGGCUGUUGGAUGGAAUGAAGCACUAGGCCAGCAUAAUCAUCAAGUGAUUGUGGUGAAAGGACAGCAAGAGAGGCAAAUGGACCUACCACCUGCACCUUCUACAUAUGUCUUGCAGAAAGUCCUAAGUGACCGCCGGAUGAAAGUAAUAUUUUACAAGGUGCUGCACGAUGUAAGAGGAGAUCCCAUAUUGAUGCUCAGGUUGUCUUGGAGUUCCUUCACAA
Phoenix dactylifera (date palm) is the source of this 2487-nucleotide non-coding RNA. The record is from RefSeq and is a predicted model, not a curated record. NCBI's taxonomy places the organism in Eukaryota, Viridiplantae, Streptophyta, Magnoliopsida, Arecales, Arecaceae.